This 73-nucleotide transfer RNA is filed under the name Staphylococcus aureus M0489. RNAcentral describes it as "tRNA-Thr". It matches the Rfam family "tRNA". From Rfam's summary of the family: Transfer RNA (tRNA) molecules are approximately 80 nucleotides in length. Their secondary structure includes four short double-helical elements and three loops (D, anti-codon, and T loops). Lineage: Bacteria; Bacillati; Bacillota; Bacilli; Caryophanales; Staphylococcaceae. The record is from RNAcentral.
GGCCUAGCUCAAUUGGUAGAGCAACUGACUUGUAAUCAGUAGGUUGGGGGUUCAAGUCCUCUGGCCGGCACCA